This 253-nucleotide ribosomal RNA is filed under the name uncultured bacterium. Its description in RNAcentral is "partial 16S ribosomal RNA". It matches the Rfam family "Bacterial small subunit ribosomal RNA", at positions 524 to 776 of the family's 1533-position model. The record is from RNAcentral.
UACGGAGGAUCCAAGCGUUAUCCGGAAUCAUUGGGCUUAAAGGGUCCGUAGGCGGUUUAAUAAGUCAGUGGUGAAAGCCCAUCGCUCAACGGUGGAACGGCCAUUGAUACUGUUAAACUUGAAUUAUUAGGAAGUAACUAGAAUAUGUAGUGUAGCGGUGAAAUGCUUAGAGAUUACAUGGAAUACCAAUUGCGAAGGCAGGUUACUGGUAAUGGAUUGACGCUGAUGGACGAAAGCGUGGGUAGCAAACAGG